UAUGGCGACCGGCGCACGGGUGAGUAACACGUAUCCAACCUGCCGAUGACUCGGGGAUAGCCUUUCGAAAGAAAGAUUAAUACCCGAUGGCAUAGUUCUUCCGCAUGGUAGAACUAUUAAAGAAUUUCGGUCAUCGAUGGGUAUGCGUUCCAUUAGGUUGUUGGCGGGGUAACGGCCCACCAAGCCUUCGAUGGAUAGGGGUUCUGAGAGGAAGGUCCCCCACAUUGGAACUGAGACACGGUCCAA
RNAcentral lists this ribosomal RNA (246 nucleotides) under uncultured bacterium. Its description in RNAcentral is "partial 16S ribosomal RNA". It matches the Rfam family "Bacterial small subunit ribosomal RNA", at positions 87 to 334 of the family's 1533-position model. The record is from RNAcentral.